AUGAAUGAGGACUUGGCAGCAAAUUUUUCAAAAAAGAAUAGAGGAAAAUUCUUUGAUGAAAAUGUGUGGCCUUGUUCUUUGACAUAUAGCUUGAAGAAACACAACUACCAUCUGAGGCGGUUGUAUAGCAAGGAAGGUGCCAAACAAUACCUAGAGGAGCAUCACAGUAAGUUGUGGGCCAGGGCGCUAUUCGAUGAGACUUGCAAACUAGAUUAUGUUAAUAAUAAUCUUGCUGAGUCUUUCAAUUCCAAGAUUAAAAAAUGGGAAGGUUUGCACAUUGUGGAUUUGCUUGACAAGGUAAGGCAGUAUCUUACGGAGAAGUUUGCCAUAAGACAACAAAUUGCAGCUGCCACAUUUAGUGGCCACAUUAUAAUUCCCAAAGUCAUGAAGCUGUUACAUGCAAAAUCUAAAGACCUAGAUAUGGCUAUGCUGAUGAGAAGCAUAUAUGAAGUAGAGGUGACAGCAAUUGACAAGGAAAAAGAGAGUGAAGAUAUCAUGUUAAUUUGGAAACUAGAACGUGUACUUGCAGAAAGUGGCAACUAA
RNAcentral lists this ribosomal RNA (543 nucleotides) under Triticum aestivum (bread wheat). Its description in RNAcentral is "partial small subunit ribosomal RNA". Lineage: Eukaryota; Viridiplantae; Streptophyta; Magnoliopsida; Poales; Poaceae. The record is from RNAcentral.